AUUAAAUGAUGAUACCUAUAAUCAGUUCUGCUUCUGAACAAUGCUGAAGACAACCUGAUACCAAAGAAACUCACUUAUCUGACUG
Small nucleolar RNA from Schizosaccharomyces japonicus yFS275, 85 nucleotides. NCBI's taxonomy places the organism in Eukaryota, Fungi, Ascomycota, Schizosaccharomycetes, Schizosaccharomycetales, Schizosaccharomycetaceae. The record is from Rfam.